This 479-nucleotide long non-coding RNA is filed under the name Dasypus novemcinctus (nine-banded armadillo). Its description in RNAcentral is "lncRNA (ENSDNOG00000049999.1)". Lineage: Eukaryota; Metazoa; Chordata; Mammalia; Cingulata; Dasypodidae. The record is from RNAcentral.
GGGAACCAGAGAUUCAGAUAUGUUGAAUCCUCUUUUGCCUAUGAAUGAAUGCCAUUUUGAGGAGAAGAUUCUCUGCUAUCUUAACACGUGUAGAUAUUUGGAGGUCUCUGAAAGUGCUGAGGACCAGAGCCCUCUGGAAGCUGGUGGCUGGCUUGGCGAUACACAUUUGGUUUUCCUUACCAAACAGCAGAUAUUUUCCCAGGGGUGGAAUUGGCAGGGGAUGAAUGCCAUGUGAAGAGGAAGCAAUUCGCCGUGUAUUUACUACUCUGAGAUGUAAGGGAAUCCCUGGAAGAUCUGUGAAUUUUGGAGAUGCUCAUGAUGUCACUUAUGAAUUAACACAAUUUCGAGGAGAAGAUUCUCUGCUUCUCUUCACACCUCUGAAAGCACUGAGGACCAAAGACCUCUGGAAACUGGUUGAACUGGCAGGGAAUGAAUGCCAUGUUACGGGAAUGCACUUCAACAUGUGUUUACUACCCUGA